GGAAUCUUCCACAAUGGGCGCAAGCCUGAUGGAGCAACACCGCGUGAGUGAAGAAGGGUUUCGGCUCGUAAAGCUCUGUUGUUAAAGAAGAACACGUAUGAGAGUAACUGUUCAUACGUUGACGGUAUCUAACCAGAAAGCCACGGCUAACUACGUGCCAG
Molecule: ribosomal RNA, 161 nt
Filed under: uncultured bacterium
Lineage: Bacteria
Description: partial 16S rRNA
Rfam family: Bacterial small subunit ribosomal RNA
Source: RNAcentral